RNAcentral lists this ribosomal RNA (328 nucleotides) under uncultured eukaryote. Its description in RNAcentral is "partial 18S ribosomal RNA". It matches the Rfam family "Eukaryotic small subunit ribosomal RNA", at positions 1470 to 1796 of the family's 1831-position model. The record is from RNAcentral.
CCCUUAGAUGUCCUGGGCUGCACGCGCGUUACACUGAUGCAUUCAACGAGCUUAUAACCUUGGCCGAGAGGCUUGGGCAAUCUUGUUAACGUGCAUCGUGAUAGGGAUAGAUUAUUGAAAUUAUUAAUCUUGAACGAGGAAUUCCUAGUAAACGCAGAUCAUCAAUCUGCAUUGAUUACGUCCCUGCCCUUUGUACACACCGCCCGUCGCACCUACCGAUUGGAUGGUCCGGUGAAGCCUCGGGAUUGUGGUUCUUGCCGCUUUAUUGUGGCGUGACCGCGAGAACUUGUCUAAACCUUAUCAUCUAGAGGAAGGUGAAGUCGUAACA